GGAUGCCUCGGUAGCUCAGUGGGUUAGGUUAAGCAUCUGCCUUCAGCUCAGAUCAUGAUCCCAGGGUCCUGGGAUCGAGUCCCACAUCAGGCUCCC
Long non-coding RNA from Mustela erminea (ermine), 96 nucleotides. RefSeq lists it as uncharacterized. The record is from RefSeq and is a predicted model, not a curated record. The transcript has 3 exons. Lineage: Eukaryota; Metazoa; Chordata; Mammalia; Carnivora; Mustelidae.